Molecule: non-coding RNA, 511 nt
Organism: Paramuricea clavata
Lineage: Eukaryota; Metazoa; Cnidaria; Anthozoa; Malacalcyonacea; Plexauridae
Source: the annotation of a GenBank genome assembly
UCCAGCAUAAAUAAAAUUAGUUCUACAUUUUGUUUAGUUCAAUGUCUAGUAUGCACUUGAAUUCAAUUCUUACCUUCCUUCUCCUUUCUGCGGCAGCAAUCUUCUCAUCAAUGUCCUGACGUGUCAACAUCCCUUCUCUCUUAGGCGUCAACUGUGGCUGUCUGGCAUUCUCCACUCUUGGGCUGAGGAUGACCUCGUAGCUGAUGGCCUUGGCAGCACCUGGAGUCGAGUUUGACGACUGUUCACCAAAGUCUAACACUACGACAAAUAUAAGGUAGGAUUAAAUUUCGGGUGGAAUUUUCAUACAUUGAUUUAUUAGACCUAACUUAGGAACAGUUGCGAAAAAUACAACUAUAGAAUCUCUGGCAGGAAUCAAACCUGCUGAACUCUAACCAACUGAGCUACAGAGAGACAGUUGUCGAGCUCUAACCAACUGAGCUACAGAGAGACAGUUGUCGAGCUCUAACCAACUGAGCUACAGAGAGACAGUUGUUGAGCUCUAACCAACUGA